AUUGAAAUCGAAGAUGCAAAGUUCGAAUUCACGCGUCCGAAAAUCUUAAUUCCCUCCGGCUGAGCGAUGUUGCAACUGUAACAACGCAACCCAUUUUACAAACGGACCCGGAAUUUCUUGACGUUCUUUUGUCAAUGCGUCCUCUCGUCAUCUAAAACAGGCAUCGUAUAUUCGAAAUAUCACCAGCGUAAAGCUCCGGCCUUUUUAUACUCUGGUAUAUUUAUUUUUUAUCCAUCGACGCCGAGUCAACUAGUGGGAAUCGGAAAUAAGUAUUCACGUAUCGCUGCAGGCCAUUCUUACGCAGGCUUUGGUCGUUCGAACAAUGUACUCGACAUUGUUAUAUCGCAAGCGUUACACGUCCAGCUGCCCGGCAAGGCUCUGCGUUAUGCGAUAGAAGUUGUUGUUGCUGCUGCUGAUGCGGUGGUCGGAAGUAACCAGAUGAAACCAACCGAGACUAAUCGUUGAUUGGAUAAAUGCGUGUUUUCUGUGCCGUCGUAUUAUUGAUAAGUGGAUAAAGAUUGCUCCCGCCUCACGAAUACUAAAAACCGUCUAUGCAUUGAAAUGCACGGAUGAUCUAUCAUCAUCUUGAUCAAAAUGUUGAUAAAAGAAUAUCGGAUACCUCUGCCUUUGACAGUGGAGGAAUAUCGCAUAGCUCAACUUUACAUGAUAGCGAAAAAAUCACGCGAAGAAAGUAAAGGCGUGGGCAGCGGUGUUGAGAUUCUUGUCAACGAACCUUAUACCAACGGUCCAGGUGGCAACGGACAAUAUACUCGAAAAAUAUACCAUGUCGGUAGCCAUUUGCCAGCUUGGUUCAAAAGUCUUUUACCAAAAUCGGUUCUCACGACGGAGGAAGAAGCUUGGAACGCUUAUCCUUACACAAAGACACGCUACACUUGUCCGUUCGUUGAGAAAUUCUCUAUAGAGAUAGAGACCUACUAUUAUUCGGACAACGGAUAUCAGGAGAAUGUUUUCAAACUCUCCGGCAGCGAUUUGAGAAACAGAAUCGUGGAUGUCAUCGACUUGGUCAAGGAUCAGUUGUACGGCGAAUAUGUGAAAGAAGAGGACCCAAAGUUAUACGUGUCGGAAAAGACGGGUCGCGGACCGCUUACAGAUUCAUGGCUGGAAGAAUACUGGGCGGAUGUGAAGGGAAAGUCGCAGCCAACACCUUCCGGCAAAUCGCUGAUGUGCGCCUACAAAAUAUGCAGAGUGGAAUUUCGUUAUUGGGGAAUGCAAACUAAGUUGGAAAAAUUCAUCCACGAUCACGCGCUUCGAAAAACAAUGGUUCGCGCUCAUCGUCAAGCGUGGGCUUGGCAGGACGAAUGGUACGGUUUAACCAUGGAGGACAUAAGAGAAAUUGAGAGGCAGACGCAACUGGCGCUACAGCGUACAAUGGGGGCUGGCGAGUCGGGAGAAGAUGCGGCGGACGACGAUCAGCUGGAUGGAACGGGCAACGUAUCCUCGUCUCAAGACAAAGAUGUCGCCAAGACUCUUGCCGCUACCUUGGGAAGCAUAGAGAAAAACGAAGACCCCCAGAGUCCGGCUUACCUCAGAAAGCAAUCAGACAUUCCAGUUAUCAAUACGGCCAUGAGUUCGGAAGGUGAAUUAAGCCCCGAGGACUCGCCGACGGAAUCAUCUGCUCCCCGACUCAUCGACGAAAGGAGCGACGUCAAAAAGACAUGGAAGAGGAGUAACCCGUCGCUUCAUUCGCCGAGUUCAGCUAAAAGUUUUGACAUACAAGUAGCGAAUUGGCGCAUGGAGAGUAUCGUCAGAGAGUCGGAAUCCGGUAGCGAGGAUGAAUUCUUUGAUUGUCAAGCUGGGUUCAUAAUACCUACUAUCCACAAAGAGGACUUUGGAGAUAAUUCGUCAUUAGCUAAAUGGAGUUCUUUGGAUCUUCUAGCUGAAGAGGAUGACACGGUUUCUCCGACUGCCGUGACAAGCAAUAAGCAAGAAGACACAAUAUUUUCACAUUCGUACUUGCAACGCGUGGCAAGCGAAAGGAGCAAUAAGCGGUUGUACAUUAGGUCUUCGGCCAGCAUCGACGUGUCCUGCCCAGCUUCGCCCCAACAUUCUCCAACGAAUCAGCCAUGCAGAACUACCGUUCUGCUCAUUGUCUUACAUGCCGGAAGUGUUCUAGAUGCCAAUGUCGACUUGACGGCGAAAAAGUCGGACAUCACUACCUUUAGAGGGGCCUUUGAAUCCGUCAUGAGGCAACAUUAUCCCAGUAUGGUUGGACACAUUGCGAUUAAGUUUGUUUCCUGUCCCUCCAUAUGCACAGAAGUUCUCUGUAUUUUGUCGAGCUUGAGCCCUUACAGUUUUGACGUUUCUCCGUCUUGCACCGACGCUCCGCAGGUGACGCACGACACAAUUCCUAUCGGAUCUAUUCCAUUGCUCGCAACUUGUAGUCCGGAUUAUCAGGAUUCGGUGUCAAGAGUUGUGAGUGGCUCGAAUCAAGUAUAUCAAGAAUUUAUCAAGAGCGAAGAGGGACGUGGAUUCAACGGGCAAAUAUGCUUCGUCGCCGAUUCGGUUGGUUCGAUAUUAGGAUACGACACCCUCUGCCGAUCUUUGCAAUAUCAGUCUAGGCACGACAGUGAGAAUAGCAUUUUAGAAAAUGACAAUCAAGUAGGCGAAGAUAACGACGGAAACGAGGAUGGUAAACAUUUGUCGGCUCCCUCUCCGAGAAGAAGGUCUUCCUCGACAAGCGAUAAUUUCAACCACUGCAAAUUAGACUUUGAGGUCGGUGAAUUCUUUAUGUUUGGAAGUCCCUUGUCUCUCGUCCUAGCGUAUAGAAAGAUAUCAUCUACCGGAGACAAAAAUAGUAACAUUCCUAGGCCACUGGUAAAUCAGGUUUACAACUUAUUUCAUCCGACCGACCCAGUCGCCGCUCGUUUAGAACCUUUGAUUUCUGCAAGGUUUUCACUUCUCCCUCCAGUUAACGUUGCUCGAUAUCAGAAGUACCCGCUUGGAAACGGGCAACCGUAUCAUCUGCUGGAGGCUGUGCAGACCAAUCCGCAACUGUUUGUCGAUGGUUUGAACGUGCCAAACACCCCUAUGCCUCAUAUGCGAAGAAUGUCCGAGAUAUCUCUGCAGAGUACGAUGUCCGGAGUCGUGGAUAACAUCCCGUUGCAAGCGAUAACAGCCCUGACGCAGAAGUGGUGGGGGAAUAAGAGAAUCGACUAUGCUCUGUACUGUCCCGAAGGUUUGGCCAACUUUCCUACAAACGUGUUACCCCACCUAUUUCACGCCAGUUAUUGGGAAUCUUCGGACGUAAUCGCUUUUAUAUUAAGACAGUUGGGGAGGUUCGAUUUACCGAUGCUAGGCAACGAAGAAAAAGAACUCACAUGCUUCCGUCCAGGGCAGCCCAGAGAGAAAUGGAAUAAAAAACGAACGUCCGUUAAACUUAAGAAUGCUGCUGCCAAUCAUAGAGCAAAUGAUGUUAUAGUGAGAGAAGGUGCUCCUCAAGUACUAAUAGCGAGGUUUAUGUACGGCUUCUUAGAUAUGAUAGCUUUAACAGGAGAAAAAGUAGACAUACAUGUAAUGAAAGACGCGCCGGCGGGCGAGUGGACUUUUUUGUCUACCGAAGUAACGGACAAAACUGGUCGAGUCGCGUACAAAAUUCCCGACGAGAAAGCACUGGGCUAUGGAAUAUAUCCUGUGAAAAUGGUUGUUCGCGGUGAUCAUACUUCAUUAGACUUUUUCAUGGCUGUGAUACCACCAAAGACGGAAUGCGUUGUAUUCAGUAUCGACGGCUCUUUCACUGCUAGCAUGUCCGUGACGGGUAGAGAUCCGAAAGUCAGAGCAGGCGCCGUUGAUAUAGUAAGACAUUGGCAAGAACUGGGAUACCUGAUUAUCUAUAUCACCGGACGACCUGACAUGCAACAGCAAAAGGUAGUUUCCUGGCUUUCGCAGCAUAAUUUCCCUCACGGCUUGGUAUCCUUUGCCGAAGGUUUGUCGACCGAUCCUCUUCGACACAAGGCUGCAUAUUUAAACACGCUGAUUCAGGAACACGGCGUGAUCAUUCACAUGGCUUACGGAAGUAACAAGGACAUAAGCGUAUACACGGCAAUAAAUUUGAAACCGAAUCAAAUAUUCAUUGUUGGAAAAGUUUCAAAGAAACAUCAAGCAUUCGCUACUAUACUCUACGAAGGCUAUGCCGCUCACUUAAGCGCUCUGACCGCGGUCGGAGGCUCCAGACCGGCGCAAGGCAAUGCUCGAAUGGUAAUACCGAGGGGUCAGUUUGGUCUACCGGGACAGAAUGCCUCGUUACGCCGUCGAAGGUACCUGUUAUGAAGAUAUGUCGUGCGCAGCGUAGCUACUAUUUGCUCCCACCAACAGCUGCCUCUACCCUAUAAUCUGAUUUACCGUUUUACUAUCAGCCAUAUUUAUGUCCAGGAUUUGUGGUUAAUCUACCGAUUAUAUAUCUCAAGGAUAAACUCUUUAUUGCUUACUCCCGAAAUGAACUGGUCUCACUUUAUCGACGAAGAUCAGCAAAACGUGCAGUGUCGCAUCCGUUGAUGGGUGAUGUGUGCGUCUUGGAAAGAAGCACAAGCGUCGGACCACCGCCAGCUUCGCAAGUGCCGCAACUGAAAAGAACGAUGACCCAGGACAAGCUCUGACGA
RNAcentral lists this unclassified non-coding RNA (4616 nucleotides) under Neodiprion pinetum (white pine sawfly). RNAcentral describes it as "protein retinal degeneration B, transcript variant X3". Lineage: Eukaryota; Metazoa; Arthropoda; Insecta; Hymenoptera; Diprionidae. The record is from RNAcentral.